Molecule: unclassified non-coding RNA, 522 nt
Filed under: Lodderomyces parapsilosis
Lineage: Eukaryota; Fungi; Ascomycota; Pichiomycetes; Serinales; Debaryomycetaceae
Description: Candida parapsilosis sequence contains 18S rRNA gene, ITS1, 5.8S rRNA gene, ITS2, 28S rRNA gene
Rfam family: 5.8S ribosomal RNA (bases 189-342)
Source: RNAcentral
ACAAGGUUUCCGUAGGUGAACCUGCGGAAGGAUCAUUACAGAAUGAAAAGUGCUUAACUGCAUUUUUUCUUACACAUGUGUUUUUCUUUUUUUGAAAACUUUGCUUUGGUAGGCCUUCUAUAUGGGGCCUGCCAGAGAUUAAACUCAACCAAAUUUUAUUUAAUGUCAACCGAUUAUUUAAUAGUCAAAACUUUCAACAACGGAUCUCUUGGUUCUCGCAUCGAUGAAGAACGCAGCGAAAUGCGAUAAGUAAUAUGAAUUGCAGAUAUUCGUGAAUCAUCGAAUCUUUGAACGCACAUUGCGCCCUUUGGUAUUCCAAAGGGCAUGCCUGUUUGAGCGUCAUUUCUCCCUCAAACCCUCGGGUUUGGUGUUGAGCGAUACGCUGGGUUUGCUUGAAAGAAAGGCGGAGUAUAAACUAAUGGAUAGGUUUUUUCCACUCAUUGGUACAAACUCCAAAACUUCUUCCAAAUUCGACCUCAAAUCAGGUAGGACUACCCGCUGAACUUAAGCAUAUCAAUAAGC